Molecule: ribosomal RNA, 348 nt
Filed under: Triticum aestivum (bread wheat)
Lineage: Eukaryota; Viridiplantae; Streptophyta; Magnoliopsida; Poales; Poaceae
Description: partial small subunit ribosomal RNA
Source: RNAcentral
AUGGACGAGUGGCCCAGAGACAACGUUGGCCAAGAGCUUGCUAGCGACUCCAUCGAUAUGUUUCAGGACCUACUUGCCGCCCCCGACCGGUAUCCGCUGGACCGUAUGAAGCUCAUGUGCUCACGAAAGUUGUGGGAUAAUGUGACGGUAGAUAAUGUCGCGGCCAUCUUAGUUUGUGCUGAAACAUAUAGCUGUCCAGAGUUGAAGAAAAAUUGCAUGGACUUCUGCACAGUGGAGGAGAAUUUCAAGCAGGUGGCAUCCAAUGAUAUAUAUGCAUUGCUAGAGUUGAGAUUUCCGCCGAUUGCUGCUGAGAUAAGAGAAAAGGCUAGGACAUCAAAACUCAAAUGA